GCUUUCGUGGUGUAAUGGUAAGCACAAUCGACGGCUAUUCGAGAGGUCCAAGGUUCGAGUCUCGGCUAAGGCA
RNAcentral lists this transfer RNA (73 nucleotides) under Stegodyphus mimosarum. It matches the Rfam family "tRNA". Rfam says of the family: Transfer RNA (tRNA) molecules are approximately 80 nucleotides in length. The record is from Rfam by way of RNAcentral. Lineage: Eukaryota; Metazoa; Arthropoda; Arachnida; Araneae; Eresidae.